This 497-nucleotide ribosomal RNA is filed under the name uncultured bacterium. RNAcentral's name for it is "partial 16S ribosomal RNA". It matches the Rfam family "Bacterial small subunit ribosomal RNA", at positions 28 to 507 of the family's 1533-position model. The record is from RNAcentral.
GACGAACGCUGGCGGCGUGCCUAAUACAUGCAAGUUGAGCGCUGAAGGUUGGUACUUGUACCAACUGGAUGAGCAGCGAACGGGUGAGUAACGCGUGGGGAAUCUGCCUUUGAGCGGGGGACAACAUUUGGAAACGAAUGCUAAUACCGCAUAAAAACUUUAAACACAAGUUUUAAGUUUGAAAGAUGCAAUUGCAUCACUCAAAGAUGAUCCCGCGUUGUAUUAGCUAGUUGGUGAGGUAAAGGCUCACCAAGGCGAUGAUACAUAGCCGACCUGAGAGGGUGAUCGGCCAAAUUGGGACUGGGACACGGCCCAAACUCCUACGGGAGGCAGCAGGAGGGAAUCUUCGGCAAUGGACGAAAGUCUGACCGAGCAACGCCGCGUGAGUGAAGAAGGUUUUCGGAUCGUAAAACUCUGUUGGUAGAGAAGAACGUUGGUGAGAGUGGAAAGCUCAUCAAGUGACGGUAACUACACAGAAAGGGACGGCUAACUACGUG